This is a long non-coding RNA of Mauremys mutica (yellowpond turtle), 957 nucleotides long. RefSeq lists it as uncharacterized. The record is from RefSeq and is a predicted model, not a curated record. NCBI's taxonomy places the organism in Eukaryota, Metazoa, Chordata, Testudines, Geoemydidae. The transcript has 4 exons.
UGUGUCUCCCUCUCCCCCUCCCCCUCAUGUAUUUCUUGUUACUCCUUGUUUUCACAACGCUGAAAUGGUAGCAGUGUCGAGAACAUUUGGAAGAGUGACUCAAGAGGAUGUUCAACAGUAGUGGCUAUUAAAGUUAGACAUACUUCAAUCAGCAGAUAACUUACAUCCUGAGUUUUAGAAGAGCUGACUGAAGCACGCCCUGGACCAAUACUGUUAAUUUUCAAUAACUCUUGGAACACUGGGGACGUUUGAGAAGAAUGAAAGAAAACGAAUGUUAUGCCAGUAUUUUAAAAGGGAUUAAGAAGAUUUGACCCCCAUAACCUCCCUUUGGCUAGAACAUCUGAUUUUGUGGUGUAAUACAGGACUUUCCUUGAUGGGUGAACUCCCAACAUGGACAUAGAUAUGCUCAGGACCUUGGGCAGCAGGUGGUCUGAGGCUUUACCAUGCAUGGCAGCUCUCCCUGUGGUUUUGGAGUUUUCAUUACUGCUGCUCUCUGACUGAAGAGAGCUAUAUGCCUGGACUGCUGUUACUUACACAUCUGCCUAUUCAAGUCUAUCUUAAUGGAUGUAAUUCAGGUUUCUAGCCUGAUGGCCCAUUGCUACCUCUUAAUCCUUGCUUUCAUCUAGCAAUCUGUUUUACAAGCCUCUCAAUACACUAAAGGAUUUGAUAUAGCCACUAUGGCUAUGUCUACACUACACUUCCUAUGCCAGCUUAGCUAUGUAUUCUUCCAUUUAAAGACCCAAACAGUUAUAUGUAACAAAAAAAACCAAAAAACAUAAAAAGUUACCUAAACAAAAUUGAAAGUGAUUUUGCUACUCUUCCUUUGUUAUGGAGCGGGAAGAAACUUGCUGGGUUCAGACUGUGUGGAUUUCACAGAACUUGAUUUGAAUUUUCAACUUAAUAUAAACCAAAGGAGAAAAGGCAAAACUCAAAAUGAAACUGCUACAUUUCAUUAAA